Molecule: ribosomal RNA, 316 nt
Filed under: uncultured eukaryote
Lineage: Eukaryota
Description: partial large subunit ribosomal RNA
Rfam family: Eukaryotic large subunit ribosomal RNA
Source: RNAcentral
AUAUAAUUAAGCGGAGGAAAAGAAACCAACUGGGAUUCCCUGACUAGCGGCGAGCGAAAAGGGAUCAGCCCGAGAUGUGAAUCGACGCUUGCCAGUCAAGCGUCGAGUUGUGCAUCAUGGACUUUGCCCCAGGAGUCUCUUAGUCUAAGGUAUCUGGAAAGAUACGCCACAGAAGGUGAUAGCCCUGUCUUUGACUAAGAUGACACCUGAUCCGGUACUGUUCAAAUGAGUCACGCUCUUUGGGAGUAGAGCGCAAAUGGGGUGGUAACCUCCAUCCAUGGCUAAAUAUUGACGAGAGACCGAUAGCGCACAAGUA